Molecule: long non-coding RNA, 249 nt
Filed under: Malus domestica (apple)
Lineage: Eukaryota; Viridiplantae; Streptophyta; Magnoliopsida; Rosales; Rosaceae
Description: long non-coding RNA (MDOM_LNC008311)
Source: RNAcentral
AAUAUGACAAAAUUGUUUUAAUUAGAUUAAAAUGCAUGCUUAUAUGUGAUGAGACUAAACCCUCAAACCAUUAUUAAGUGAUAAGCGUGAGAGUGCUUUGAACAUUCUUUCGUGGCCUUCCACCGUGGUAGGCUCCGAUCGUUUGUGACUCGUACACCGACUUCACCCUAUCAUGAGGGAGUACAAAGUGCGUGCUUACACUCAGGAGGAGUUCUAUAUGCAUACAUGAUGUUGUGAAGGUAGGCAACG